GUCGAACGGAAACGCGAAGAGCUUGCUCUUUGGCGUCGAGUGGCGGAUGGGUGAGUAACGCGUGGGAAUCUACCCAGCAGUGGAGGAUAGCCAGGAGAAAUUCUGAUUAAUACUGCAGACGAUCUACGGAUGAAAGAUGGCCUCUACUUGUAAGCUAUCGCUAUUGGAUGAGCCCGCGUUAGAUUAGCUAGUUGGUGGGGUAAUGGACUACCAAGGCGACGAUCUAUAGCUGGUCUGAGAGGACGGACCAGCCACAUCGGGACAGAGACACGGCCCAGACUCAUAACGGAGGCAGCAGUGGGGAAUAACAGACAAUGGGCGCAAGCCUGAUCCAGCAAUACCGCGUGUGUGAAGAAGGCCUUAGGGUUGUAAAGCACUUUCAAUUGUACAGAAGGGUAUUAGAUCAAUACUCUAGUAUCUUGACGUUAACCUUAGAAGAAGCACCGGCUAACUCCGUGCCAGCAGCCGCGGUACUACAGAGGGUGCAAGCGUUAAUCGG
This 499-nucleotide ribosomal RNA is filed under the name uncultured bacterium. RNAcentral's name for it is "bacterial SSU rRNA". It matches the Rfam family "Bacterial small subunit ribosomal RNA", at positions 61 to 548 of the family's 1533-position model. The record is from RNAcentral.